Molecule: transfer RNA, 73 nt
Filed under: Bos taurus (domestic cattle)
Lineage: Eukaryota; Metazoa; Chordata; Mammalia; Artiodactyla; Bovidae
Also listed under: 4 other names
Rfam family: tRNA
About the family: Transfer RNA (tRNA) molecules are approximately 80 nucleotides in length. Their secondary structure includes four short double-helical elements and three loops (D, anti-codon, and T loops).
Source: Rfam by way of RNAcentral
UUCCUGGUGGUCCAGUGGCUAAGACUCUGCACUUCCAAUGCAGAGGGUGCAAGUUCCACCCCUGAUCAGGGAA